RNAcentral lists this unclassified non-coding RNA (378 nucleotides) under uncultured Parachlamydiaceae bacterium. RNAcentral's name for it is "contains 16S-23S intergenic spacer region". The record is from RNAcentral. Lineage: Bacteria; Pseudomonadati; Chlamydiota; Chlamydiia; Parachlamydiales; Parachlamydiaceae.
UCCUGGUUAACCCAGGCAGUCUCAUUAGAGUUCCCACCAUUACGUGUUGGCAACUAAUGAUAAGGGUUGCGCUCGUUGCGGGACUUAACCCAACACCUCACGGCACGAGCUGACGACAGCCAUGCAGCACCUGUGCAGAGACCCUUGCGGGAGAUCCUAUUUCUAGAACUGUCCUCUGCAUGUCAAACCUGGGUAAGGUUCUUCGCGUUGCAUCGAAUUAAACCACAUGCUCCACUGCUUGUGCGGGUCCCCGUCAAUUCUUUUGAGUUUCAGCCUUGCGACUGUACUCCCCAGGCGGUAUACUUAACGCGUUAGCUACGGCACAACUAGGGUUGAGUCCAGUUACACCAAGUAUACAUAGUUUACGGCAAGGACUAC